GAGGGAACAAUAAUAGUCGGCUUCUGAGUUCUGAUCUCAAUCAUAAAGUGUUGUUGUCAAGAUUCGAACUACGGAUAGAGUAUAAGCAAUUGACACUAAAAUAAAAAAAUUGAAGGGCCGAGAUCCAAUUCAUUCAAAUCAAGCUGAAGGGACGAGAUCGUGCCACAUGGACAGAUGAUUAUAUAUACACAUCACACAGGACAGAGAGGGCUAACAAAAAUUCUGGGAACAAAAGGUAAUCUUCUCUAUUCAGUAGAAGGAUUUAACCAAGCUAUUGGGACUUGAUUAUGAGGUUCAAUAUAAGAGAGGUGCUGAAAAUAGAAUUAUUGACGCCUUGCUGGGAAAUAAAAAGGGUUAGACUCCUUAGAUGAUCAUGCUAUUGGGAAUUUAAUGGCUAUAAGAAGUAGCACUCCAACUUGGGUAUGAGAGAUUAUUGGGCGCUAUGCAGAGGAUGCUUAUGUCCGAGACAUUCUUACACUACUUGUCGUAGAUUCUCAUGGACCCAAUUUAUCGCACUACUCAUCUGGUAUACUAAGAAAAGAUUCUUAUGGACCCAAUUUAUCGCACUACUCAUCUGGUAUACUAAGAAACAAGGGCAAGGUAUAUGUAGGAUCUCAUGAAACUCUCAAACAAUAACUCAUUUCUUCUUACCGCGACACUCCCCUUGGUGGUCAUUCUGGUCAGUUAGAGACAUCAAAAAGGUUGUCGCAAUUUUUCUAUUGACCAAAGAUGAAGCUUAUGGUUAAUGAUUAUGUGCCCAGAUGUGAUUUAUGCCAUAGGAAUAAAGACGAUAAUUAUGUAGUUUAUCCGGAAUUUUUGCAACUCUUACCUGUUCCUAAUCAAGCAUGGUACCAAUAUCAACACGGACUUUGUAGAAGGUCUUCCCAAGUAUAAAUCUAAAGAUGUCAUAUUAGUGGUGGUUGAUAAAUUUACUAUGUACGCCACUUCAUAACUCUAUCGCACCCUCAUACUGCCGCCGCUAUUGCUUCCAUCUUUUGGAAGAAGAUACAUAGCCUACAUGGCACUCCGAAGUCUAUUGUGACUGAUAGAGACAAGGUGCAUCUCAACAACUUUUGGCGAGCUUUAUUUAGCUUAUUGGGCACACAAAUCAAUUAUAACUCUGCCUAUCACUCUCAAAGUGAUGGCCAAACAAAAAGGGUUAAUUGGUGCUUGGAAAAAUACUUAAGAUGCAUGGUGGCAAGUAAGCCUAAUCAGUGGAAACUAGGGCUGGGCAUAAACACCUAAAAACUGAAAUAUCAAACUGAAUUAAAUUAUUUUGAUAUUUUAAUUCUGUAUUCGGUAUACGUUUUUAUAUUUUUUGGUAUUUUUAUUCGA
Molecule: long non-coding RNA, 1335 nt
Organism: Solanum lycopersicum (tomato)
Lineage: Eukaryota; Viridiplantae; Streptophyta; Magnoliopsida; Solanales; Solanaceae
Source: RefSeq, a predicted model, not a curated record